GUUUAUAUUUAUUUUAUUUCUGAAAUAUAUUAUAAUGUGGUGAUUAUAUUCGCAUAUUAUAGACUAUAAGUUUUACCAGUUAAUUAUACCAUGUAUUUUAGCAAGUCAGUAGCCUAUUUUCUUCAAGUGCUACUAAAACGUUCGGUCUAACUACUUGAUUUAUUGUUUAUUUAAUUUAUUUAAAAUGCUAUUUAAAGUAAUGAAUUUUGCUUUGGUCUGAUUUUAUAAGUGUGUGAUUAUUAUAUAUACGUGUUACUUAUUUUAUAUAAAAUCUCAGUGUAUUUUUAUAAUUUUGGAAAUAAUAGUAAUUAGUUUGUU
This 318-nucleotide long non-coding RNA is filed under the name Daucus carota (carrot). Its description in RNAcentral is "long non-coding RNA (DCAR_LNC006391)". Lineage: Eukaryota; Viridiplantae; Streptophyta; Magnoliopsida; Apiales; Apiaceae. The record is from RNAcentral.